Molecule: long non-coding RNA, 964 nt
Organism: Salvia splendens (bonfire salvia)
Lineage: Eukaryota; Viridiplantae; Streptophyta; Magnoliopsida; Lamiales; Lamiaceae
Exons: 3
Source: RefSeq, a predicted model, not a curated record
AAUGACAAUGUUUUAAAAACCGGACAGGCCGGUUGGACCGGUUGGACCGGCCGGUAGGCAGUCCAAUCCGAUUUGCCUCUAAAAAUCGCCUGUAGGUUGACCCGCCCAAAAUCGGUAAAACCGGCCUGUCAAACCAGUUGGACCGCGAACGGGGAACCGAUUCAACUAUAUUUAAAUAUUUUUUAAAAUCAUAUUUUGUUAGGGGUUGGGGGUCUUUGGAAGAAUUAGUUUCAUUCCCUUCACUUUUCAGAAAGUGAGCGCCGACCCCCCACUUCCUCUCUCAAGUUCUCCACACCUCCCUGUUCCGCCGCCCACCUCGCUACCUCCGGCGCCCCAAUCGCCGAGCCCUCCCGGACUCCAUCUCUCUCGUUGCUCCUUCUCUCUUGCCCUCCCAUUGCCGCUCGUCUCCUCUCCUCGAUAACAUCCAACACCGUACAUCGCCGCCUCCGCUUCCCCAUCGCCGUCGCGCAUUUAGAGAUGCUAAUGAAGAGCUUGAUUAUGAGGAGUUGGAGGAAAUGUUAGAUGAAGAACAAGCAAAGAUGAUGAAGAUGAUAUAAUGGGGAUUAAUGAUGACGAAAUUGAUUUGUCAAGAUUUGAUGAUGAUGGAAAUACUGGUAGCAUCAACGAUGGUUUUUGUGACUUGAGUUGCAUUAAGCUUGAAGUUGGAAAUGAAAGUGGUUGAGAUGAUCACUAAGUAUUUUGUUUUGAGUUCGUAGCUUGGUAUUUUGAUAAAGACUUAUGUAUUUUGAUAAGGACUUAUGUAUUUUGAUAAAGACUUGUGUAUUUAGAUAUUUGAACUUAUUGGUCUUGUGUAUUUUGGUAUUUGAACUUAUUGGUAUUGUAAUGCAAGCUGACCAGCAUAGCAUGGCAUGGCAUGGCAGUGUAUCGGAAAAUACUUGAGAUGCAUUACGUGGCACCAAAUCUGCCAUUUUUGAUAUUUUGAUAAUGCUAUUUUUAUUUAUUA